UUGUUUUCUGAUGUAGCAUCAUCAAGAUUCACAUGCAAAUGCUUGUGGGUGGGACUCUUAUGCAACUUGGUGUUCUUCUCAGUCUAUUGGUGUUUUCAGAGUGAGAAUCUUGAUGAUGCUGCAUCGGCCAUAAA
This is a microRNA precursor of Lupinus angustifolius (narrow-leaved blue lupine), 134 nucleotides long. It matches the Rfam family "mir-172 microRNA precursor family". Rfam says of the family: mir-172 has been experimentally verified in Arabidopsis thaliana. This family is thought to target mRNAs coding for APETALA2-like transcription factors. The record is from Rfam. Lineage: Eukaryota; Viridiplantae; Streptophyta; Magnoliopsida; Fabales; Fabaceae.